CACCAUCAUCGUUACAAUUUCUCAUACACUCUUUCUCUACAUGGAACACUUUUCAGCUGUUGAUAACAUACCGCGUAAGAGUUGGGAGAAGCUAUAACAUCUCGGUUUGCCUCAAGUGUAUGCUGCGACUUUAGAACGAGUUGGAUUGACUUGAGUAAGAACGAAAUCUUGAGUAAGUUGUUUUUUUGGUUUUUUUUUUUUUGUUUUUUUCGGUGACUCAAUCUGUACACCUUCGACAUAUUAGUAUACAGGAUAAAAUACAACAGAACA
Neodiprion virginianus is the source of this 270-nucleotide long non-coding RNA. RefSeq lists it as uncharacterized. The transcript is spliced from 2 exons. The record is from RefSeq and is a predicted model, not a curated record. Lineage: Eukaryota; Metazoa; Arthropoda; Insecta; Hymenoptera; Diprionidae.